CCAAACUUGGUCAUUUAGAGGAAGUAAAAGUCGUAACAAGGUUUCCGUAGGUGAACCUGCGGAAGGAUCAUUACAUGGCGUGCGUUCUGCGCGCGGACACGCCUGGCUUUGGCCUGGUGUGCCCUUGACCUUGCCUGUUUACGCCCGAAGUUAUUUCCUCGGGGGGCUCUACCCCCCGCUAGGGAAGCCAACUCAACCUAUAAUUAGCAAUGUACUCUGAUCGAUACGCAAAUCGUGACAACUUUCAACAAUGGAUCUCUUGGUUCUGGCAUCGAUGAAGAACGCAGC
RNAcentral lists this unclassified non-coding RNA (288 nucleotides) under uncultured fungus. RNAcentral describes it as "partial contains small subunit ribosomal RNA, internal transcribed spacer 1, and 5.8S ribosomal RNA". The stretch from base 1 to 73 matches the Rfam family "Eukaryotic small subunit ribosomal RNA", at positions 1759 to 1831 of the family's 1831-position model. Lineage: Eukaryota; Fungi. The record is from RNAcentral.